Molecule: long non-coding RNA, 807 nt
Organism: Uranotaenia lowii
Lineage: Eukaryota; Metazoa; Arthropoda; Insecta; Diptera; Culicidae
Exons: 3
Source: RefSeq, a predicted model, not a curated record
AGCGGUUGCUUGCGGUGGUUAUGAUUGUGACUUCGGAUGUGAAAACGAAUGUGGCCGUGAAGCGUAUAAAGGAAUAUUGCGAAACCGAACAGGAAGCUGCCAGGGAAGUAGCUUAUAGUACAUUGCCUCGAGCCUCGAGGUUGACCGGAGCACGUUCGUGUGGAGUAACAAGACUUCUAGAUCCGUUACCAAGAAGGGUUUGAUAUUGUACGUAAAGGCAUUUCUUCCACUGUUGAUGGUCAGGACGUAGGAAUUGUUAGUCGUGCCGGCGCAGGUCCAUUUAACCCUGUGUGCAGUGGAAAGAUUAUCAUCGAUGGACAGAACAUUUCGCAACUUGAAUUGCACGCUCUGCGAUCGCGAUUAACCAUCAUUCCCCAGGAAUCGGUUCUGUUCUCCGGUACGCUGCGUAUCAAUUUGGACCCGUUCAAUGUGCAUUCGGAUGACGAUAUCUGGAACGCCCUUGAACACGCUCACUUGAACGAGUUUGUGAAAGGACUGGCUGCCGGUAUCAAUCACAAGGUCACGGAGGGUGGUUAAAAUCUAUCGGUGGAACAACAACGCACAGCAUCUAUAUUACUUACAAAUUAUGCUGAUUCCAUUAUGCACUACCAGAGUAUAAGAAAUACAUGUGAUAAUUUAGUGGCAGUUAGUGCUGCGUUCAUAGCAGUAACACUGUGCAGGAAAAUCUUCACUGAUCAGUUCUGGCCAGGGAUUCGCGUAUUCCAAUAAUGCGGAAAUAAGAACAUCGAAGAGAGCGACGAACCAUAUGACCUUGCAGCCACCGUUGGAUAAGAGUCGCCGGAUUCA